This is a long non-coding RNA of Cervus elaphus (red deer), 2150 nucleotides long. RefSeq lists it as uncharacterized. The record is from RefSeq and is a predicted model, not a curated record. NCBI's taxonomy places the organism in Eukaryota, Metazoa, Chordata, Mammalia, Artiodactyla, Cervidae. The transcript has 3 exons.
CACUGCCAGUCAGAGUGGAGGUGGGGGAGGCAUUGAGAUAUCUGGGGACCACCGGCUUGUCCCAGGACCAGCAUCCCUCAGCUCUCUCCAAGACUAGAGACAGGUCAUCUGUCCCUUUGGGAGAAGGUCUAAGAGAGUCACUGGUUCAGAAUUCAAAGCUGCUGCCUGGAUGAAGAUCUCUCAAGGUUGUAGAGGAUGGUGAGGCCAGAUGUUGGAAGGAACUGGAUCCUUGAAUCACCACAUGAAGGAAGCUUCCUGCCAAUUGCAUUGGGCUGAUACCUUGGAGAAAUAGACAUUUUUGUGUUUAGUUACUGAAAAUCUGAGAUGAGAAACCUGAGGCACAGAGAAGUUAAAUAACUUGUCCAGUGUCAUAUACCUGAGAAACGGUGGAUCUACAAAUAUUGGAAGAAAAUGAAAUUGCCAAAUUACAGCAUUUGUUAUAUCAAAAAAAAAUUCCAUUUUAUUGAAAUAAUAAUAGAAACAAACAAUGUUUGGAUUGCUUAUUCUUUUUCCCUUUUAGUUACACACUAGAACCAAAAUUAUAUUAAAAACCCCAAACUAUCAUUUGUUUCUUCUUUCCCAUCAUUUUCACUGGGUAAAACUGACAUUUCUGCCUAAAUACUACUAUGGAAAGGCAGGAUUUUAUAGCAAUACUAUUGUACAUCAUCAAAAGCAAGCCUUACUCAUCUUCAUUCUACUCUAGUCUAUGGAUCCAGGUCCUUUUGAACACAGAAAGGAGUAAAAGGCGCCAACAUCGCAGAUUCAGUCGAAGCAAAGCUCCUCACGUGGCAUUCAUGAAGACCAGCUUCACAUACCUGCAUUCACCUACCUGCAAACAUUGCCCCAGAGAGGCCUCUGCACAUCCUCCACUAACCUGUGCCUUACCAUAAGCUGCGUACAUACUGGUACAGAAGAUGACCAUCGGAGUCCAAGUUUAUGCUCCUUACGAGGAAUAAAGAUUGUAUUUAAGUAAAGAAAUCUGUUGAUGACAUCUAAGCCCAAAUAUGCUACAAGUAUCACUCUGAAAAUGGACAGGAAAAGGUAUUAGGUUACAGGAAACCCCUAUAAUUUUAUAUGGAAAGCAGUAAAUUCGGGUUGUGUCUUACUGUGCCGCACAUUAAUGUAGUCAGUCCGAGUCAAGUCACGUGAGUGCCAUGACGGGAAUAGAGAGACAGGGUCUUGCCUUAAAAAAAAGAAAGACUUCUCAGACAAUUCUGCUAAAGGAUGCCUGACUCAAAUUUACAGUGGAUUGAAUCAUUUCAGUUCUGACAUUAUUGAAGAUAAUUUGUGCAAGCCCAAAACAAGAUUUCCUUCCUCGUUCUACCCUCUUUUUUCUCAUCCUACCCUCCAGAUUGUAAGUACUGGCUCUUUUUAGCUGAGGCUGAAUCAAUCAUUUUCAUUACUUCAUUGCAAUUCGAAGACAAUUGCAGCAAACAAAAAAUAGAAUUUGACUUGCUGAUGUUUAAUUAUUGAUGUGGCCUUUUUAAAACACAUUUGGUUCUCAGAACUGUGCUCCGUUUCUCGUUGGUUCCCAUUCUGUUUGUUCUUGGCCUCUGUGUUCCUUUUCGAUUUUCUGCAGGUUAGCAAGUGCCGCGUCGUCUGCUUUUGAAAUGUGUCUUUAGGCAUGCUUUUGUUUGACAAGGAAUGCCAAGGCUGAGCUGACAAAGUCUGUUUGAAAAUCUUUUUCCAGGUAUACAAGAUCAGUGAGCCUGUUCAAUGUAUACUGUGAUUAGAAUUUUUCUUCAGAUAUUUAUAUCAACAUUUCAGUUUUAGGGAGAGAUGUUUUCAGAGCCUACCUGUCAGACGAAACUUAUAAAAGGUAAGGAACUCUAUCAUUUAUAUAUUCAAAUGCAGAAAUACAUUUGUGGUAGAGCUGACAUCCUCCAUACUUCCCCCCAUCCCUCGUGUGACUCGAAAGGACAUAGGUUACAAGCUUCAGUCACCCCUCUUCCCACAUGCAGGAGCAAACAUCUCCUUUGGAGUUCUCACCCUCAGCUACAGGAUCUCAGGAUCUAACUGGGAAAGAUUUAGAAGGUUUUUGUCUCAUGGCUCCAACCUGGGCUGGUGAUCUGUUUCACCCUUGAUAGUAUACUUGUUUCAAUGCUGUUCUCUCAGAACAUCCCACCCUCGCCUUCUCCCACAGAGUCUAA